UAUGCAGGAACGCCCUCUUAAUGCAGGCUGCAGUUGCACAAUAUAGGUUGGGACCGUUAUUCUACACAUCAAUGGUUGGGAUACGUUGUAGACAGGACUGGUCAAGAUGCUGACUGGCUGGUUCUUUGAUCUCAGAAUCUAACGCUAUGUGGUUCCCAUGCUGGGGAGAGGAGGAGGACAGGACGUUCAUCAUCACACUGUGAGCGAUAGCUGUGACAGUCCCGAGCCCUUGGAGCUAUUCUGCAUGCUGAUGAUGUUCCCACUGGUCUGCUCCAGCUCUGCCUCCGCCUUGCGGAAGAAGCCCCUCAUGCUGGACUGGAAGUUGUUGGUGACGAAGCAGUAGACGAUGGGGUCCAUGCAGCUGUUCAGGCUGCUGAGGGUGACGGUGACGUGGUAGACAAUGAUGUGGUGGGGCAUGUCGGGGUAGAAGUACACCAGCACCUGCCUGACGUGGAACGGGGUGAAGCAGAUGGUGAAGAUGACCAGGACAGUGGUGAGGAGCUGCACGGCCCGCACGCGCCUCUCUCUGCUCUGCUGCAUCAGACUGGAGUUGGACAGGGCACACAUGAUGCGCACGGUGAACACCACAAUGACGACCAAGGGGAGGAAGAACUCGAAGACAGUCAGGACGAAGAGCUUGGAGACGCAGCAGCCCGCGUGUCGGAACGCCGUGGUGAGGAAGGAGUAGGUGACCACGAUAGCGAAGAGCCAGAUGAAAAUGCACACCCCCUUGGCCACGUUAGGGUUCCUCCACUUCCUAGAGGCCUCAGCCUGUACUAUGGCCAGGUAUCUGUCCACGCAUAUACUGGUGAGGAAGAGGAUGCUGCAGUACAUGUUGACAAAGUAGCUGAAUAUAUGCACGUAGGAGCAGUUGAGGCACUUUCCCCCACUGUAAUAGAGAAUGAUACGUGUAGGCAGGGAGAGGUUAACCAGUAGGUCUGUGACAGCCAGAUUGAUGGUGUAGAUGACUGAGGUGGUCUUGGGCUUGGUGCGGAAGCAGAACACGUACAGGGCCAGGGUGUUGAGAACCAUUCCCACCAUGAAGAUGAGUGUGUUGACCACCACCAGACAGAUCCACAGGCUGUAGAAGUCAUUGUAGAGACCCUCGUCUAGAUGGGCCAGGCGGUGCAUGUAUGGCUCUCUGCUCACAUUGGUGUUGCCGGCGGAGGUCGCCAUGGGCAUCACUGUUGAGGUCGAGUUAUCCAGUGACAUCCCAGUAUAGGCAGGCUCCAUGGUUCUGUGGUUGGCCCCGCGGCCUGAAAAAAACAACAACAAAAACAAUAUGGAGUUAAGUGGGUUCAUUUUUCAGAUCAACACAACUAGCCCACACCUAUUUAUCAUGGCAUUUUUAGUUGAGGAAUUCUGAACCAUACACUGAAUAUUCAGGAAAAUAUUCUUGGAAAUCUAAACAUAAACCAAUAUCAUAAUCAUGUUGUAAUAAUGUUUAGAUGGUGUGAUAUUCUCUAAAUACUGAAGACUGCAUCUACAAAACAUUCAUGAACAAAAUAUCAGCCCCCUGCUGACACAAUUAUUUUCCAAUCAUUGUUGUUGUAUUACUUGAUGAGGUGAUCCAAAUAAAUACUCUAACUUGA
Molecule: long non-coding RNA, 1592 nt
Organism: Oncorhynchus masou masou (cherry salmon)
Lineage: Eukaryota; Metazoa; Chordata; Actinopteri; Salmoniformes; Salmonidae
Exons: 2
Source: RefSeq, a predicted model, not a curated record